GACAGAGGAGCCAAGCGUUGUCCGGAGUAACUGGGCGUAAAGCGCACGCAGGUGGUUCUGUGCGUGGGGUGUGAAAGCUCUCGGCUUAACUGAGAGAGGCCACCUCAUACGGCAGAGCUCGACGCCCGUGAGAGGUCCACGGAAUUGCCGGUGUAGUGGUGAAAUGCGUAGAGAUCGGCAGGAACAGCCCAGGGGGAAACCAGUGGACUGGCACGGUGCUGACACUCAUGUG
This 232-nucleotide ribosomal RNA is filed under the name uncultured bacterium. RNAcentral describes it as "partial 16S ribosomal RNA". It matches the Rfam family "Bacterial small subunit ribosomal RNA", at positions 524 to 753 of the family's 1533-position model. The record is from RNAcentral.